Molecule: long non-coding RNA, 240 nt
Filed under: Gallus gallus (chicken)
Lineage: Eukaryota; Metazoa; Chordata; Aves; Galliformes; Phasianidae
Source: RNAcentral
UGGCAAGGAGGAGCAAAGGAGAAAGACGAAGAAAAGUGAAAGGAGUAUACCAAAAGGUUAUCAAAGAGAAAAAAUAUCCGCUCUUGGAUAUUUCCUGCUGAAAUUUUCAGAAGUAGUCCACUUCGCAGCAUUUCUGUGCAGGUAUCAGUGAUGUUGGACCCCUAAGGACAAUGGGAAAGAGAUCAUUUUUUAUACAUGGCUGGAUUUACACCCUUUUCCUUCUUGGCCAGCAAGAUCAAG